RNAcentral lists this transfer RNA (77 nucleotides) under Planctomycetaceae bacterium. RNAcentral describes it as "tRNA-His". It matches the Rfam family "tRNA". Rfam says of the family: Transfer RNA (tRNA) molecules are approximately 80 nucleotides in length. Their secondary structure includes four short double-helical elements and three loops (D, anti-codon, and T loops). Further hydrogen bonds mediate the characteristic L-shaped molecular structure. tRNAs have two regions of fundamental functional importance: the anti-codon, which is responsible for specific mRNA codon recognition, and the 3' end, to which the tRNAs corresponding amino acid is attached (by aminoacyl-tRNA synthetases). tRNAs cope with the degeneracy of the genetic code in two manners: having more than one tRNA (with a specific anti-codon) for a particular amino acid; and 'wobble' base-pairing, i.e. permitting non-standard base-pairing at the 3rd anti-codon position. Lineage: Bacteria; Pseudomonadati; Planctomycetota; Planctomycetia; Planctomycetales; Planctomycetaceae. The record is from RNAcentral.
GUGGGUAUAGCUCAGUUGGUUAGAGCGCCGGAUUGUGAUUCCGGAGGUCGCGGGUUCGACCCCCGUCGCCCACCCCA